UACGGAGGAUCCGAGCGUUAUCCGGAUUUAUUGGGUUUAAAGGGUGCGUAGGCGGUUUGAUAAGUUAGAGGUGAAAUGUCGGGGCUCAACCCCGAAACUGCCUCUAAUACUGUUGGACUAAAGAAUAGUUGCGGUAGGCGGAAUGUAUGGUGUAGCGGUGAAAUGCUUAGAGAUCAUACAGAACACCGAUUGCGAAGGCAGCUUACCAAACUAUAUCUGACGUUGAGGCACGAAAGCGUGGGUAGCAAACAGG
This 253-nucleotide ribosomal RNA is filed under the name uncultured bacterium. RNAcentral describes it as "partial 16S ribosomal RNA". It matches the Rfam family "Bacterial small subunit ribosomal RNA", at positions 524 to 776 of the family's 1533-position model. The record is from RNAcentral.